Molecule: transfer RNA, 65 nt
Filed under: Uvitellina sp. SSS-2019
Lineage: Eukaryota; Metazoa; Platyhelminthes; Trematoda; Plagiorchiida; Cyclocoelidae
Description: tRNA-Tyr
Source: RNAcentral
ACUAGUUUAGUAUAUUCAGUACGUAGGAUUGUAGCUCUUGAGGUGGUAUUUUUUAUUGGCUAGGA